UACGGAGGGUGCGAGCGUUAAUCGGAUUUAUUGGGCGUAAAGGGGGUCUAGGCGGGAGAGAAAGUCAGGUGUGAAAUUUCGGAGCUUAACUUCGGAGCGGCAUUUGAAACUUCUCUUCUUGAGGGCAGUCGGAGAAAGUAGAAUUCCACGUGUAGCGGUGAAAUGCGUAGAUAUGUGGAAGAAUACCUGUGGCGAAAGCGACUUUCUAGAUUGUACCUGACGCUCAAGCCCGAAAGCGAGGGGAGCAAACAGG
RNAcentral lists this unclassified non-coding RNA (253 nucleotides) under uncultured Chlamydiales bacterium. Its description in RNAcentral is "contains 16S-23S intergenic spacer region". It matches the Rfam family "Bacterial small subunit ribosomal RNA", at positions 524 to 776 of the family's 1533-position model. Lineage: Bacteria; Pseudomonadati; Chlamydiota; Chlamydiia; Chlamydiales. The record is from RNAcentral.